RNAcentral lists this ribosomal RNA (235 nucleotides) under uncultured bacterium. RNAcentral describes it as "partial 16S ribosomal RNA". It matches the Rfam family "Bacterial small subunit ribosomal RNA", at positions 121 to 354 of the family's 1533-position model. The record is from RNAcentral.
AAAAUCUGCCUAUCAGAGGGAAAUAACAGUGAGAAAUCACUGCUAAUACCGCAUAUGCCAUAGGAAUCGCAUGAUUCAAGUGGGAAAGGAGCAAUCCGCUGAUAGAUGAGCUUGCGUCUGAUUAGCUAGUUGGUGGGGCAAAGGCCUACCAAGGCGACGAUCAGUAGCCGGCCUGAGAGGGUGAACGGCCACAUUGGGACUGAGACACGGCCCAAACUCCUACGGGAGGCAGCAG